RNAcentral lists this ribosomal RNA (254 nucleotides) under uncultured bacterium. Its description in RNAcentral is "partial 16S ribosomal RNA". It matches the Rfam family "Bacterial small subunit ribosomal RNA", at positions 524 to 776 of the family's 1533-position model. The record is from RNAcentral.
UACGUAGGGUGCGAGCGUUGUCCGGAAUUACUGGGCGUAAAGAGCUCGUAGGUGGUUUGUCGCGUUGUUCGUGAAAACCGGGGGCUUAACCCUCGGCGUGCGGGCGAUACGGGCAGACUUGAGUACUGCAGGGGAGACUGGAAUUCCUGGUGUAGCGGUGAAAUGCGCAGAUAUCAGGAGGAACACCGGUGGCGAAGGCGGGUCUCUGGGCCGUAACUGACACUGAGGGAGCGAAAGCUAGGGGAGCGAAUGGG